RNAcentral lists this ribosomal RNA (695 nucleotides) under Gillisia sp. CAL579. Its description in RNAcentral is "bacterial SSU rRNA". It matches the Rfam family "Bacterial small subunit ribosomal RNA", at positions 125 to 818 of the family's 1533-position model. Lineage: Bacteria; Pseudomonadati; Bacteroidota; Flavobacteriia; Flavobacteriales; Flavobacteriaceae. The record is from RNAcentral.
UCUACCUUGUAGAGGGGAAUAGCCCAGAGAAAUUUGGAUUAUUGCCCCAUAGUAUUAUGAAAUAGCAUUAUUUUAUAAUUAAACAUUUAUGGCUACAAGAUGAGUAUGCGUUCUAUUAGUUAGUAGGUAAGGUAACGGCUUACCUAGACUUCGAUAGAUAGGGGUCCUGAGAGGGAGAUCCCCCACACUGGUACUGAGACACGGACCAGACUCCUACGGGAGGCAGCAGUGAGGAAUAUUGGACAAUGGGCGAGAGCCUGAUCCAGCCAUGCCGCGUGCAGGAAGACGGCCCUAUGGGUUGUAAACUGCUUUUAUAGAGGAAGAAACACUCCCACGUGUGGGAGCUUGACGGUACUCUACGAAUAAGGAUCGGCUAACUCCGUGCCAGCAGCCGCGGUAAUACGGAGGAUCCAAGCGUUAUCCGGAAUCAUUGGGUUUAAAGGGUCCGUAGGCGGGACAAUCAGUCAGCGGUGAAAGUCUGUGGCUCAACCAUAGAAUUGCCAUUGAUACUGUUGUUCUUGAAUACUUAUGAAGUGGUUGGAAUAUGUAGUGUAGCGGUGAAAUGCAUAGAUAUUACAUAGAACACCGAUUGCGAAGGCAGAUCACUAAUAAGUCAUUGACGCUGAUGGACGAAAGCGUAGGUAGCGAACAGGAUUAGAUACCCUGGUAGUCUACGCCGUAAACGAUGGUUACUA